Oncorhynchus keta (chum salmon) is the source of this 1250-nucleotide long non-coding RNA. RefSeq lists it as uncharacterized. The record is from RefSeq and is a predicted model, not a curated record. NCBI's taxonomy places the organism in Eukaryota, Metazoa, Chordata, Actinopteri, Salmoniformes, Salmonidae. The transcript is spliced from 4 exons.
GGGGCGGCAGGUAUCCUAGUGGUUAGAGUGGAGGGGCGGCAGGUAUCCUAGUGGUUCGAGUGGAGGGGCGGCAGGUAGCCUAGUGGUUAGAGUGUAGAGGCGGCAGGUAGCCUAGUGGUUAGAGUGUAGAGGCGGCAGGUAGCCUAGUGGUUAGAGUGUAGAGGCGGCAGGUAGCCUAGUGGUUAGAGUGUAGAGGCGGCAGGUAUCCUAGUGGUUAGAGUGGAGGGGCGGCAGGUAGCCUAGUGGUUAGAGUGGAGGGGCGGCAGGUAGCCUAGUGGUUAGAGUGGAGGGGCGGCAGGUAUCCUAGUGGUUAGAGUGGAGGGGCGGCAGGUAUCCUAGUGGUUAGAGUGGAGGGGCGGCAGGUAUCCUAGUGGUUAGAGUGGAGGGGCGGCAGGUAUCCUAGUGGUUAGAGUGGAGGGGCGGCAGGUAGCCUAGUGGUUAGAGUGGAGGGGCGGCAGGUAUCCUAGUGGUUAGAGUGGAGGGGCGGCAGGUAUCCUAGUGGUUAGAUUGGAGGGGCGGCAGGUAUCCUAGUGGUUAGAGUGGAGGGGCGGCAGGUAUCCUAGUGGUUAGAGUGGAGGGGCGGCAGGUAUCCUAGUGGUUAGAGUGGAGGGGCGGCAGGUAGCCUAGUGGUUAGAGUGGAGGGGCGGCUGGUAGCCUAGUGGUUAGAGUGGAGGGGCGGCUGGUAGCCUAGUGGUUAGAGUGGAGGGGCGGCAGGUAUCCUAGUGGUUAGAGUGGAGGGGCGGCAGGUAUCCUUGUGGUUAGAGUGUAGAGGUGGCAGGUAGCCUAGUGGUUAGACUGGAGGGGCGGCAGGUAUCCUAGUGGUUAGAGUGGAGGGGCGGCAGGUAUCCUAGUGGUUAGAUUGGAGGGGCGGCAGGUAUCCUAGUGGUUCGAGCGUUGGACUAAUAACUUAAAGGUUAGAAGAUCGAAUCCCCAAACCGACAAGGUAAAAAUCUACCGUUCUGCCCCUGAACAGGCAGUUAACCCCACUGUUCCUAGACCAGUUAACCCACUGUUCCUAGACCAGUUAACCCACUGUUCCUAGACCAGUUAACCCACUGUUCCUAGACCAGUUAACCCACUGUUCCUAGACCAGUUAACCCCACUGUUCCUAGGCCAGUUAACCCACUGUUCCUAGGCCAGUUAACCCACUGUUCCUAGGCCAGUUAACCCACUGUUCCUAGGCCAGUUAACCCACUGUUCCUAGGCCAGUUAACCCACUGUUCCUAGGCCAGUUAACCCACUGUUCCUAG